RNAcentral lists this unclassified non-coding RNA (352 nucleotides) under soil metagenome. RNAcentral describes it as "partial contains 5.8S ribosomal RNA, internal transcribed spacer 2, and large subunit ribosomal RNA". The stretch from base 1 to 120 matches the Rfam family "5.8S ribosomal RNA", at positions 35 to 154 of the family's 154-position model. The record is from RNAcentral.
GAUGAAGAACGUAGCGAAAUGCGAUAAGUAAUGUGAAUUGCAGAAUUCAGUGAAUCAUCGAAUCUUUGAACGCACAUUGCGCCCGCCAGUAUUCUGGCGGGCAUGCCUGUUCGAGCGUCAUUACAACCCUCAGGCCCCCGGGCCUGGCGUUGGGGAUCGGCGGAGCCCCCCGUGGGCACACGCCGUCCCCCAAAUGCAGUGGCGGUCCCGCCGCAGCUUCCAUCGCGUAGUAGCUAACACCUCGCGACUGGAGAGCGGCGCGGCCACGCCGUAAAACACCCAGCUCUUCUGAAGUUGACCUCGAAUCAGGUAGGAAUACCCGCUGAACUUAAGCAUAUCAAUAAGCGGAGGA